UCAUGUACACAGAGAACUUAGGAAUCAUGCUUCCUACAUUGAAUAGCCGAUAGUUUGGUUAUGUUGGUAGAACUCACGGAACUGCUAUUAAUGUCAAUCCCUUAUUUAUAAAUGCACCUUCUUUAUUACAACAAAAAUGGUGUCUUAUUCUCUUCAAAAGAUGCCAUUAGGACUGGAUUUCUAUGAGGAUCUAUUUGAGGAGUUGAACAAGUAGAGAGAGAUUGAGAGCCUUAAUAUCUGUGGCAAUUUGGCUGACCACGUGGUGGGUAAUGUAUAUUUCAGUUUUGAGAGGAAGAACAUGCUGCUAAUGCUUUACUGCAAUCUAAGCGGAAGGUUCUAUGUUGGUUAGUCUUUUACCUUUUGUCCUUGAAUGUUACAUUAUUGUCACUUCUGAUUUUCCUUGGGUUAGUACCUUUGCUUCCCACUUCACUGAUAAAAUCCCUUCUCAUAUCCUCCAUAGUUUCGUUCAAUUCUUAUUUAUACUUUAAUUAUUUCUAAUUGAUGGACGGAGUGGAUUUGUCAUGGGCAUCUUUGAGGGCCCCAGACAGCUUUGGACCACAGGAAAUUGGGCAUAGGUAAUUAACGUCUACCUUAUCUAUACUAAUAGCUAGUUUUUUGGACUGUCUUGCCCUUUGUUUUAUUUGAAUUAAAGCUAUCAUCUAAAUCCAAGUCAUAGUUGACAAACCAUGGAUGUGUGUCUGGUUUUGAGAGGGCCAGUUUCGUCCUCCAGAUUAAAUGGCAUGA
Magnolia sinica is the source of this 744-nucleotide long non-coding RNA. RefSeq lists it as uncharacterized. The transcript has 3 exons. The record is from RefSeq and is a predicted model, not a curated record. Lineage: Eukaryota; Viridiplantae; Streptophyta; Magnoliopsida; Magnoliales; Magnoliaceae.